Molecule: ribosomal RNA, 499 nt
Filed under: uncultured bacterium
Lineage: Bacteria
Description: bacterial SSU rRNA
Rfam family: Bacterial small subunit ribosomal RNA
Source: RNAcentral
GAUGAACGCUAGCUACAGGCUUAACACAUGCAAGUCGAGGGGAAACGAUAUUGGAAGCUUGCUUCUGAUAGGCGUCGACCGGCGCACGGGUGAGUAACGCGUAUCCAACCUGCCCAUCACUUGGGGAUAACCUCGUGAAAGUAAGACUAAUACCCAAUGACGUCUCUAGAAGACAUCUGAAAGAGAUUAAAGAUUUAUCGGUGAUGGAUGGGGAUGCGUCUGAUUAGCUUGUUGGCGGGGUAACGGCCCACCAAGGCGACGAUCAGUAGGGGUUCUGAGAGGAAGGUCCCCCACAUUGGAACUGAGACACGGUCCAAACUCCUACGGGAGGCAGCAGUGAGGAAUAUUGGUCAAUGGACGAGAGUCUGAACCAGCCAAGUAGCGUGCAGGAUGACGGCCCUAUGGGUUGUAAACUGCUUUUAUAAGGGAAUAAAGUGGGAGUCGUGACUCUUUUUGCAUGUACCUUAUGAAUAAGGACCGGCUAAUUCCGUGCCAGCAG